AUUGAACGCUGGCGGCAUGCCUUACACAUGCAAGUCGAACGGUAACGGGCCUUCGGUGCCGACGAGUGGCGAACGGGUGAGUAAUGCAUCGGAACGUACCUUUCAGUGGGGGAUAACGUAGCGAAAGUUACGCUAAUACCGCAUAUUCUGUGAGCAGGAAAGCAGGGGAUCGCAAGACCUUGCGCUGAUUGAGCGGCCGAUGUCAGAUUAGGUAGUUGGUGGGGUAAAGGCUCACCAAGCCGACGAUCUGUAGCUGGUCUGAGAGGACGACCAGCCACACUGGGACUGAGACACGGCCCAGACUCCUACGGGAGGCAGCAGUGGGGGAAUUUUUGGGACAAUGGGCGCAAGCCUGAUCCAGCCAUUCCGCGUGCAGGAUGAAGGCCCUCGGGUUGUAAACUGCUUUUGUACGGAACGAAACGGUUCUCUCUAAUACAGGGGGGCUAAUGACGGUACCGUAAGAAUAAGCACCGGCUAACUACGUGCCAGCAGCCGCGGU
Molecule: ribosomal RNA, 499 nt
Filed under: uncultured bacterium
Lineage: Bacteria
Description: bacterial SSU rRNA
Rfam family: Bacterial small subunit ribosomal RNA
Source: RNAcentral